GUUAUUUUAAAGCAAUUCAAAUGAGGUACAGCCCAUUUGAUCAAGGACUCAACCUUUACUAACGGGUAAUACUCACCGCAUCCCUCCCCCAAGUUGGCCUAAUAGCAGCCAUCUUUUAAAAAGCGUCAAAGCUUAAUCUGCCCGCACCAUAAUUCAUAAACCCCCAUUGACCCCUUUCACAGUACUGAGGACCCCUAUAAACCUAUAGAGCCUUUAAUGCUAAAACUAGUAACAAGAGAUUCACCUCUCUUUAGUGUAAACCCAACCCAGCAAGAACCAAUCACUGGGGCCUAACAGAACUAAACAAAUGUAGUAACUUCACUAGAAAAACCUUCUCUACCCCCUGUUAACCUAACACCAGAACACUUCAAGAAAGAUUAAAAUAAAAAGAAGGAAUUCGGCAAAUAUUUAACCCCGCCUGUUUACCAAAAACAUCGCCCCCUGAUCUUAUAGGGGGUCCAGCCUGCCCAGUGACCCUGUUCAACGGCCGCGGUAUCCUAACCGUGCAAAGGUAGCGUAAUCACUUGUCCCCUAAAUAGAGACUAGUAUGAAAGGCAUCACGAGGGUUAGACUGUCUCCUCUCUCCAAUCAGUGAACCUAAUCUCCCCGUGAAGAAGCGGGGAUUU
Molecule: ribosomal RNA, 626 nt
Filed under: Pristimantis lacrimosus
Lineage: Eukaryota; Metazoa; Chordata; Amphibia; Anura; Strabomantidae
Description: partial large subunit ribosomal RNA
Rfam family: Archaeal large subunit ribosomal RNA (bases 375-622)
Source: RNAcentral